CUUGACUUUAUAUUGCGAUUGGCAACUUUCAUAAAUUAGGUGCAUUACCACCACUGACCUUGUUCGUCUUUCACUCACCCACGUGGGUUUAACCAAUGAGGAGAUGGCACAUGGGUACCUGCUUCUAUAAACCAAUGAGGAGAUUGGAGAGGCAGGACUUGCAGCGUGAUCUGCGUCACAAAUAGGACUGACUUCUAUUUUAGCCCUUGGCAACACAGACGCUCGUUGGCAUGCGCGAGCAGUGUGGGUGCAAUAAUUGAAUAAUAUAGAUUUCUAAAUGUAUUUUGCUACGGUCAGCCUGUAAGGCACUGCAUCGCAGUGCUAGCUGUGCCACUAGAGAUUCUGGGUUAGAGUCCUGGCUCUGUCGCAGCCGGCCGCGACCGGCAGACCCAUGGGGCGGCACACAAUUGGCCCAGCGUCGUCCGGGUUAGGGGAGGGUUUGGCCGGCAGGGAUGUCCCAUCGCGCACUAGCGACUCCUGUUUUGGGCGCGCUGAAUUUUAAAAAACUAAUUAAAAAAAAAAAUAACUGUUGAAGUCUCGGGGAAGCAGCUCGCUGAAACAACUCUCAGAGAACCUCUAGGUGGGUCUUUACACGUAUACACGUCAGCAGCCCUGUCUUUCUCUACCAUCAGCUAUACUCAUGGUACUGUCACUUCCUGUCUCUCCCUACCAUCAGCUAUACACACGGUACUGUCUCUUCCUGUCUCUCCCUACCAUCAGCUAUACUCACAGUACUGUCUCUUCCUGUCUCUCACUACCAUCAGCUAUACUCAUGGUACUGUCUACCUGUCUCUCCCUACCAUCAGCUAUACUCAUGGUACUGUCUCUACCUGUCUCUCCCUACCAUCAGCUAUACUCAUGGUACUGUCUCUACCUGUCUCUCCCUACCAUCAGCUAUACACACGGUACUGUCUCUUCCUGUCUCUCCCUACCAUCAGCUAUACUCACAGUACUGUCUCUUCCCGUCUCUCCCUACCAUCAGCUAUACACACGGUACUUUCUCUUCCUGUCUCUCCCUAGCAUCAGCUAUACUCAUGGUACUGUCUCUUCCUGUCUCUCCCUACCAUCAGCUAUACUCACAGUACUGUCUCUUCCUGUCUCUCCCUACCAUCAGCUAUACUCAUGGUACUGUCUCUACCUGUCUCUUCCUACCAUCAGCUAUACUCAUGGUACUGUCUCUUCCUGUCUCUCCCUACCAUCAGCUAUACUCAUGGUACUGUCUCUACCAUCAGCUAUACUCACGGUACUGUCUCUUCCUGUCUCUCCCUACCAUCAGCUAUACUCACAGUGCUGUCUCUUCCUGUCUCUCUCUACCAUCAGCUAUACUCACGGUACUCUCUUCCUGUCUCUCCCUACCAUCAGCUAUACCCAUGGUACUGUCUCUUACUACCAUCAGCUAUACUCACGGUUCUGUCUCUUCCUGUCUCUCUCUUCCAUCAGCUAUACUCAUGGUACUGUCUCUUCCUGUCUCUCUCUUCCAUCAGCUAUACUCACGGUUCUGUCUCUUCCUGUCUCUCUCUUCCAUCAGCUAUACUCAUGGUACUGCCUCUUCCUGUCUCUCUAUACCAUCAGCUAUACUCAUGGUACUGCCUCUUCCUGUCUCUCUAUACCAUCAGCUAUACUCAUGGUACUGUCUCUACCAUCAGCUAUACUCAUGGUACUGUCUCUACCUGUCUCUGCAGAGUUUGUACUGUGUCAAUUUAAAAACAAGGCAGCCAUCUUGAUCUGACUAAAUACAUGGGAUACAAUACAACAUGUUUCCAAGUGGACAAGUAUUGUCAGAGAAUAUAUCUAAACCUGGCUGGUAGAAAGACGAUAUUCAAAACUAAACAUGACCACAUCAGCAGGAUUCCCAACAUUCAACUACUUGUCUGAGUCAAGUGGUCUGAUCUCUUGCCUAGUUAAAUAAAGGUUAAAUAAAACAUCUCUCUCUCGCUCUCUACAAAGUUUGAGGGCCCUGGUGUGAGGAAGCUGUCACCCUGCUUGACAGAACCUGACAUUUCCAAAGGUCUGUGAGGAGGAUCGUUUGUGACAGCUUCAAAUUACAGUGUGGGAGAAAGGGAAGGAUGGAGGGACUAUAAAUGUCACUUCCAGGAGGUGAGGGGGAAGGAUGGAGGGACUAUAAAUGUUACUUCCAGGAGGUGAGGGGGAGGUAUGGAGGGACUAUAAAUGUUACUUCCAGGAGGUGAGGGAGAGGGAUGGAGGGACUAUAAAUGUCACUUCCAGGAGGUGAGGGGGAGGAUGGAGGGACUAUAAAUGUUACUUCCAGGAGGUGAGGGGGAGGGAUGGAGGGACUAUAAAUGUCACUUCCAGGAGGUGUGGGGGAAGGAUGGAGGGACUAUAAAUGUCACUUCCAGGAGGUGAGGUGGAAGGAUGGAGGGACUAUAAAUGUUACUUCCAGGAGGUGAGGGGGAGGGAUGGAGGGACUAUAAAUGUCACUUCCAGGAGGUGAGGGGGAGGGAUUAUAUAUUGUGCCUCUAAAAAAAAAAAAGACGUUACAUGGGCAUUUCUCACAAUGGAAAAAUAUUUCCUGCCUGAGCCCUCUCUCUCUUUGUCUCUCUCUCUCUCUCUCUCUCUCUCUCUGCCCUCUCUCUCUCUCUCUGCCCUCUCUCUCUCUGCCCUGCCCUCUCUCUCUCUCUGCCCCCUCUCCCUCUGCCCUCUCUCUCUGCCCUCUCUCUCUGCCCUCUCUCUCUGCCCUCUCUCUCUGCCCUCUCUCUCUGUCCUCUCUCUCUGUCCUCUCUCUCUGUCCUCUCUCUCUGUCCUCUCUCUCUGUCCUCUCUCUCUGUCCUCUCUCUCUGUCCACCUCUACAUUAUUACAGCUGUUUACAGCCCCUCUCUCUGUCUUCAAGAGAGAGAAUACAUUAUUACAGCUGUUUACAGCCCCUCUCUGUCUUCAAGAGAGAGAGAACCUUAUUGCAGCUGUUUACAGCCUCUCUCUCUGUCUUCAAGAGAGAGAAUACCUUAUUACAGCUGUUUACAGCCCCUCUCUCUGUCUUCC
RNAcentral lists this long non-coding RNA (2998 nucleotides) under Salmo salar (Atlantic salmon). RNAcentral's name for it is "lncRNA (ENSSSAG00000091000.1)". Lineage: Eukaryota; Metazoa; Chordata; Actinopteri; Salmoniformes; Salmonidae. The record is from RNAcentral.